GAUGAACGCUGGCGGCGUGCCUAAUACAUGCAAGUCGAGCGAACAGACGAGGAGCUUGCUCCUCUGACGUUAGCGGCGGACGGGUGAGUAACACGUGGAUAACCUACCUAUAAGACUGGGAUAACUUCGGGAAACCGGAGCUAAUACCGGAUAAUAUAUUGAACCGCAUGGUUCAAUAGUGAAAGACGGUUUUGCUGUCACUUAUAGAUGGAUCCGCGCCGCAUUAGCUAGUUGGUAAGGUAACGGCUUACCAAGGCGACGAUGCGUAGCCGACCUGAGAGGGUGAUCGGCCACACUGGAACUGAGACACGGUCCAGACUCCUACGGGAGGCAGCAGUAGGGAAUCUUCCGCAAUGGGCGAAAGCUUGACGGAGCAACGCCGCGUGAGUGAUGAAGGUCUUCGGAACGUAAAACUCUGUUAUUAGGGAAGAACAAAUGUGUAAGUAACUAUGCACGUCUUGACGGUACCUAAUCAGAAAGCCACGGCUAACUACGUG
RNAcentral lists this ribosomal RNA (497 nucleotides) under uncultured bacterium. RNAcentral describes it as "partial 16S ribosomal RNA". It matches the Rfam family "Bacterial small subunit ribosomal RNA", at positions 28 to 507 of the family's 1533-position model. The record is from RNAcentral.